GCCAGGCCGGAGCUGGUGCUGGUGCUGGUGUCAGUGCCGGAGGCUAAGGCUCAGUUGAGGCAGUUAGUCAACUUGGUUAGUUAGUUACUGGUGUGUCUGCCUAGCCCUUGCGCUUUACCGUCAUCAGCACGAAGAUGAUGAUCAGCUUUCGGCCAUCAUCAUGAUCACCUCCUGAAAUCUAUCUCCAACUUGAUAAAUAAAGAUGUGAGGCGUGAGUGAAGAACUCUUGUCCAGAAUUAUGCGA
Molecule: long non-coding RNA, 244 nt
Organism: Drosophila montana
Lineage: Eukaryota; Metazoa; Arthropoda; Insecta; Diptera; Drosophilidae
Exons: 2
Source: RefSeq, a predicted model, not a curated record